GAUGAACGCUGGCGGCGUGCCUAAUACAUGCAAGUCGAGCGAACGGACGAGAAGCUUGCUUCUCUGAUGUUAGCGGCGGACGGGUGAGUAACACGUGGAUAACCUACCUAUAAGACUGGGAUAACUUCGGGAAACCGGAGCUAAUACCGGAUAAUAUUUUGAACCGCAUGGUUCAAAAGUGAAAGACGGUCUUGCUGUCACUUAUAGAUGGAUCCGCGCUGCAUUAGCUAGUUGGUAAGGUAACGGCUUACCAAGGCAACGAUGCAUAGCCGACCUGAGAGGGUGAUCGGCCACACUGGAACUGAGACACGGUCCAGACUCCUACGGGAGGCAGCAGUAGGGAAUCUUCCGCAAUGGGCGAAAGCCUGACGGAGCAACGCCGCGUGAGUGAUGAAGGUCUUCGGAUCGUAAAACUCUGUUAUUAGGGAAGAACAUAUGUGUAAGUAACUGUGCACAUCUUGACGGUACCUAAUCAGAAAGCCACGGCUAACUACGUGCCAGCAGCCGCGGUAAUACGUAGGUGGCAAGCGUUAUCCGGAAUUAUUGGGUGUAAAGCGCGCGUAGGCGGUUUUUUAAGUCUGAUGUGAAAGCCCACGGCCCAACCGUGGAGGGUCAUUGGAAACUGGAAAACUUGAGUGCAGAAGAGGAAAGUGGAAUUCCAUGUGUAGCGGUGAAAUGCGCAGAGAUAUGGAGGAACACCAGUGGCGAAGGCGACUUUCUGGUCUGUAACUGACGCUGAUGUGCGAAAGCGUGGGGAUCAAACAGGAUUAGAUACCCUGGUAGUCCACGCCGUAAACGAUGAGUGCUAAGUGUUAGGGGGUUUCCGCCCCUUAGUGCUGCAGCUAACGCAUUAAGCACUCCGCCUGGGGAGUACGACCGCAAGGUUGAAACUCAAAGGAAUUGACGGGGACCCGCACAAGCGGUGGAGCAUGUGGUUUAAUUCGAAGCAACGCGAAGAACCUUACCAAAUCUUGACAUCCUUUGACAACUCUAGAGAUAGAGCUUUCCCCUUCGGGGGACAAAGUGACAGGUGGUGCAUGGUUGUCGUCAGCUCGUGUCGUGAGAUGUUGGGUUAAGUCCCGCAACGAGCGCAACCCUUAAGCUUAGUUGCCAUCAUUAAGUUGGGCACUCUAAGUUGACUGCCGGUGACAAACCGGAGGAAGGUGGGGAUGACGUCAAAUCAUCAUGCCCCUUAUGAUUUGGGCUACACACGUGCUACAAUGGACAAUACAAAGGGCAGCGAAACCGUGAGGUCAAGCAAAUCCCAUAAAGUUGUUCUCAGUUCGGAUUGUAGUCUGCAACUCGACUACAUGAAGCUGGAAUCGCUAGUAAUCGUAGAUCAGCAUGCUACGGUGAAUACGUUCCCGGGUCU
Molecule: ribosomal RNA, 1372 nt
Filed under: uncultured bacterium
Lineage: Bacteria
Description: bacterial SSU rRNA
Rfam family: Bacterial small subunit ribosomal RNA
Source: RNAcentral